CUCUGUUGCGCCGGAGGUCCCUGCGCGCGGCUCCAACCUGCUUGCGUUUGUUUUGCUUGCUUGUCACUUGGUUUACGGCUGGCUGGCUCGUGUUACUGCCGUUAUCCUCGGGGCUACGUGCUGGUGUUACUGACAGCACUGGUUUUGUACUUUGUGUGUUGGCAGCUGCGUUUCCUUGAUCACACGUGUGGAGAUAUUACAAUGACUUUCCUUGUUCUUGCUAGCAGGCCAGGUGCACAGUUUCAGUGCGGCUGCUGCUGCCUUGAUCAUUAAAACAGCACGUUCAGAACCCCCAAGUUGAAAGUAAACCCAUUUGUGCUCCAAAUGUCAAGCGUCUGCAGGCGGGGUUCAACGCUCGUUUACUCUCUCUUGUCACGCCAUGGGGUUAUUUGUUUGAUUUGAUCCCUCGAAGACCUCUUCUCCUGCCACAUGGCUCAACUACGGUGACGGAGAGGUAAACGACGUUCAGAAGAAGACAUUGGACUGAUGACAUUGGAAAACUCUUGGCGAUCUGAAAUCUCGCCAUCGUUUUUGGAUAUAGGUGUUGACUGUUGACGACCUGAUGCAUGCCCAUCCAAAUGGAAAUAGCUCCAUCGCUAACGCAUGCU
Molecule: long non-coding RNA, 608 nt
Organism: Setaria italica (foxtail millet)
Lineage: Eukaryota; Viridiplantae; Streptophyta; Magnoliopsida; Poales; Poaceae
Exons: 3
Source: RefSeq, a predicted model, not a curated record